AACGAACGCUGGCGGCAGGCUUAACACAUGCAAGUCGAACGCCCCGCAAGGGGAGUGGCAGACGGGUGAGUAACGCGUGGGAAUCUACCCAUCUCUACGGGAUAGCUCCGGGAAACUGGAAUUAAUACCGUAUACGUCCUGAGGGAGAAAGAUUUAUCGGGGAUGGAUGAGCCCGCGUUGGAUUAGCUAGUUGGUGGGGUAAAGGCCUACCAAGGCGACGAUCCAUAGCUGGUCUGAGAGGAUGACCAGCCACAUUGGGACUGAGACACGGCCCAAACUCCUACGGGAGGCAGCAGUGGGGAAUAUUGGACAAUGGGCGCAAGCCUGAUCCAGCCAUGCCGCGUGAGUGAUGAAGGUCUUAGGAUUGUAAAGCUCUUUCAGUGGGGACGAUAAUGACGGUACUCACAGAAG
RNAcentral lists this ribosomal RNA (411 nucleotides) under uncultured bacterium. RNAcentral describes it as "bacterial SSU rRNA". It matches the Rfam family "Bacterial small subunit ribosomal RNA", at positions 29 to 487 of the family's 1533-position model. The record is from RNAcentral.